GAUGAAGAACGUAGCGAAAUGCGAUAAGUAGUGUGAAUUGCAGAAUUCAGUGAAUCAUCGAAUCUUUGAACGCACAUUGCGCCCCUUGGUAUUCCAUGGGGCAUGCCUGUUCGAGCGUCAUUUGUACCUUCAAGCUCUGCUUGGUGUUGGGUGUUUGUCUCGCCUCUGCGUGUAGACUCGCCUCAAAACAAUUGGCAGCCGGCGUAUUGAUUUCGGAGCGCAGUACAUCUCGCGCUUUGCACUCAUAACGACGACGUCCAAAAGUACAUUUUUACACUCUUGACCUCGGAUCAGGUAGGGAUACCCGCUGAACUUAAGCAUAUCAAUAAGCGAGGA
This 336-nucleotide unclassified non-coding RNA is filed under the name soil metagenome. Its description in RNAcentral is "partial contains 5.8S ribosomal RNA, internal transcribed spacer 2, and large subunit ribosomal RNA". The stretch from base 1 to 120 matches the Rfam family "5.8S ribosomal RNA", at positions 35 to 154 of the family's 154-position model. The record is from RNAcentral.